GCAAGAUACCACGGGCGCACGGCGGAUGCCUUGGCACAGGGAGCCGAUGAAGGACGCGGCAAGCUGCGAUAAUCCCCGGCGAGGAGCACACAUCCUUCGACCCGGGGGUCUCCGAAUGGGCGAACCCAUCCACAGAGGUGUGGAUAUCCCCGCCCCGAACACAUAGGGGCGGGGAGGACAACCCGGGGAACUGAAACAUCUAAGUACCCGGAGGAGAGGAAAUCAAUCUCGAGACUCCCCGAGUAGCGGCGAGCGAAAGGGGACCGAUGGCCAAACCGUCGAGCGGGCAUACCCGGCAGGGGUUCCGCCGGCGGGGUUGCAGGGCCGCGCAUCCGGGGGCUGCCGCCCCCGGGCGCAGGUCCGGCUGGGGAGCGGAACGGCAUGGGAGGGCCGGCCGCAGCGGGUGACAGCCCCGUACGCGAACCCAGACCGGACGGCGCGACGCGGUCCCUGAGUAGGGCCGGGCACGUGAAACCCGGUCCGAACCUGGGUGGACCACCAUCCAAGCCUGAGUACUACCCUGUGACCGAUAGCGCACCAGUACCGUGAGGGAAAGGUGAAAAGCACCCCGGGAGGGGAGUGAAACAGUACCUGAAACCGUGCGCCCACGAGCAGUCGGAGCACCUCUAUGGUGUGACGGCGUGCCUUUUGUAGAAUGAGCCAGCGAGUCGCUGGCGCGGGGCGAGGUUAACCGAAAGGGAGCCGGAGCGAAAGCGAGCCUUAACAGGGCGACUUGAGUCCCGCGCCGCGGACGCGAAGCCGGGUGAGCUAUCCGUGGGCAGGCUGAAGCGGGGGUAAGACCCCGUGGAGGGCCGAACGCACGUCGGUUGAAAACGGCGGCGAUGACCUGCGGAUAGGGGUGAAAGGCCAAUCAAACCCGGAGAUAUCUCGUUCUCCCCGAAAUAGCUUUAGGGCUAGCGUCGCGCGUUCACCGCCGGAGGUAGAGCACCGGAUGGACGAGGGGGCUUCGCCGCCUACCGAAUCCAACCGAACUCCGAAUGCCGGCGGCCCAGAGCGCGGCAGUCAGAGCAUGUGGGCUAAGCUGUGUGCUCGAGAGGGAAACAGCCCGGACCGCCCGCUAAGGUCCCCAAGUUCCAGCCGAGUGGCAAAGGAUGUGCGUCCGCCCAGACAACCAGGAUGUUGGCUUAGAAGCAGCCAUGCAUUCAAAGAGUGCGUAACAGCUCACUGGUCGAGUGGACAUGCGCCGACAAUACACGGGGCUAAGCUGGACACCGAAGCGGCGGGAUUUUAAUUCAUUAGAAUCGGUAGGGGAGCUUCCCAUGGGCGGAGAAGCCGGAGGGCGACCGACGGUGGAGCGCAUGGGAGUGAGAAUGCUGGCAUGAGUAGCGAGAGACGAGAGAGUAACUCGUCCGCCGUGAACCCGAGGUUUCCUGGGCAAGGCUAAUCCUCCCAGGGUCAGUCGGGGGCUAAGGCGAGGCCGGUAGGCGUAGCCGACGCGCAGCAGGCAGACAUUCCUGCACCGCGCACGCGGCGCUACGACCGACGGGGCGACGGAUGGGGGUGGCUCGGCGGGGUUCUGGACGUCCCCGUGAUGGAGCGCGGCCCGCGGACCAGGGAAAUCCGGUCCGCAUUGAGGGCGAGGCUCCGGACGAAGCGACUGAGCGAAGCGAGUGAGCCCGAGGUCCCUAGAAAAACCCCUAGGCAGGCGCGUGCGCGCCCGUACCGCAAACCGACACAGGUGGGUGGGUAGAACAUACCGAGGCGAUCGGGUCAACCAUGGUCAAGGAACUCGGCACAAUGGCCCCGUAACUUCGGGAGAAGGGGUGCCCGCGCGUACGUGAACCGGCUUGCCCGGGGAGCGGAGGCGGGCCGCAGUGGAGAGGCCCAAGCGACUGUUUACCAAAAACACAGGACUCUGCAGAAGCCGCAAGGCGACGUAUAGGGUCUGACGCCUGCCCGGUGCCGGAAGGUCACGCGGAGGAGUUAGCCGCAAGGCGAAGCCCCGAAGCCAAGCCCCGGUAAACGGCGGCCGUAACUAUAACGGUCCUAAGGUAGCGAAAUUCCUUGUCGGGUAAGUUCCGACCUGCACGAAAGGCGCAACGACUUGGGCGCUGUCUCGACCAUGGACCCGGUGAAAUUGCACUGGUCGUGAAGAUGCGACUUACCCGCGGAAGGACGGAAAGACCCCGUGAACCUUCACUGCAGCUUGGCAUUGGCCGCUGGUCCCGCGUGUAGAGGAUAGGCAGGAGGCAUCGAUCCGGAGGCGCCAGCC
Molecule: ribosomal RNA, 2233 nt
Filed under: human gut metagenome
Description: bacterial LSU rRNA
Rfam family: Bacterial large subunit ribosomal RNA
Source: RNAcentral